UACGUAGGUGACCAGCGUUGUCCGGAUUUACUGGGCGUAAAGAGCGCGCAGGCGGUCGUUCAAGUCGAGUGUGAAAGCCCCCGGCUCAACUGGGGAGGGUCAUUCGAUACUGAUCGACUUGAAGGCAGGAGAGGGAAGUGGAAUUCCCGGGUGUAGUGGUGAAAUGCGUAGAUAUCGGGAGGAACACCAGUGGCGAAGGCGGGUCGCUGGGCCGUAACUGACGCUGAGGAGCGAAAGCAUGGGGAGCGAAACAGGG
RNAcentral lists this ribosomal RNA (256 nucleotides) under uncultured bacterium. Its description in RNAcentral is "partial 16S ribosomal RNA". It matches the Rfam family "Bacterial small subunit ribosomal RNA", at positions 524 to 777 of the family's 1533-position model. The record is from RNAcentral.